GUUGCUCAAACAAAUCCAGCUUUAUUUUUCCCAAGGUUUGGCUCUCUGAGGCUGAGACGUGGGGUUUUUGUUGUUGUUUGCUUUGGGUUUCUUUUCCCCGGGACACUUCUCUCUUGUGUUCCCACUGAGGAAUUUCUUGCCUUGGUUCUGGUUUCUGGGGAAGGCUGAGGAGUUUCCCUUUCUGUUAAGGCAGCUGCAAUGUCCGCAGACAGGAGAUGCUCUCAGCCCACCCCAAGACAUGCUGCAGCAGAGGAAGCCUUCCUUCCAGCUGCCUCAAACAGGAGCUGCAGGAACUCUGUGCAAUUCCUGUUGCAGCCACUGCUUACCCAGAUGCUCACAAGGACAGAGCCCGGCGUUCCUGGACAGGCUGGGUUUCUGAGGGAAGCCACACGCCGCCGAGCACUGUACACUGUGGGCAAAGCCACUUCCCAUGGGCAGCUGGGCUGGACAACGCCAGUUUUACACCGAGAUUGUAAUUUCCCAACCACAGAGACGCUUGGGAGGGUGGAGAAAGGAGUCCUGUGGUGGGAAGCCCCGGCUGCUUCGGUGCGUCUGGGAUUCCUGGCCUGAGGUUCCCCAACACCACCCGAGGGCUGGGCAGCAUCGGGGCUUUCCAGCUCAGGAAGGCUCCUGGGAUGCAGGGAAGUGGUCUGUUCCCAAAGUGACCUGGAAACUAAAACAUCGUACAAACAGGGGCUGACACAAAAGUGAAAACUGGGGAGGAAACCAUUGCUUUUUAUAUUUUCUAUUUCAUUUUGUUCUCCUAUUAUUUUCUGCUUUUAAAGAACAACAACAACUAAAUAGACAUUAAACAGACUCAUUUUCAUAUUAAUGAAAAAAAAAAACCCACCAAAAAUAUACCAAGUGCAGGCACAGGACAGUGUGAAUGUUGACAAGCUGGUUCUAGCUCAUGAACUCUGCAGAAUACAUUUGUUGAAACCAACAGUCCUUUUUGAACAUUUAUA
Long non-coding RNA from Lagopus leucura (white-tailed ptarmigan), 965 nucleotides. RefSeq lists it as uncharacterized. The record is from RefSeq and is a predicted model, not a curated record. Lineage: Eukaryota; Metazoa; Chordata; Aves; Galliformes; Phasianidae. The transcript has 3 exons.